GCUUUGGGCCUAUGCGAGAGUCGGCCCUGCCCGGUGAGAGACUCUCUUUAACGGCCGCAGUUUAUAGCUGUGCUAAGGUAGCGUAAUCAUUUGCCCUUUAAUUGGGGGAUAGUUAAAUGGGUUGACGUAAGAAAAGCUGUCUUUUUAAUGAUGCUUGAAAUUUUCUUUUAAGUGAAAAGACUUAAAUAAACGUAAAAGACGAGAAGACCCCGUGGAGUUUGAUUGUUAAAUUCUAUAAAGGUUUUGAGAAGUUUUACUGGGGCAGUAAGAAUAUAUGAAAAAUUAUUGUUAGUGAGAUGGAUCCCCUAAUUAGGGUCAGAAGAAAAAACUACCCCGGGGAUAACAGCGUUAUCUUCUUUUAGAGGGCAUAUCGAAAAGAGGGUUUGCGACCUCGAUGUUGGCUUUAAGUAUCUUUUUGGUUGCAGGAGCUAAAAAAGUAGGACUGUUCGUCCUUUAAAACUUAACAUGAUCUGAGUUCAGACCGGA
Molecule: ribosomal RNA, 486 nt
Filed under: Tugonia sp. YL-2022
Lineage: Eukaryota; Metazoa; Mollusca; Bivalvia; Myida; Myidae
Description: partial large subunit ribosomal RNA
Rfam family: Bacterial large subunit ribosomal RNA
Source: RNAcentral